Molecule: ribosomal RNA, 274 nt
Filed under: uncultured bacterium
Lineage: Bacteria
Description: partial 16S ribosomal RNA
Rfam family: Bacterial small subunit ribosomal RNA
Source: RNAcentral
AUACGGAGGGUCCGAGCGUUAUCCGGAAUCAUUGGGUUUAAAGGGUCCGUAGGCGGGAAUCUAAGUCAGUGGUGAAAUCUUGCAGCUCAACUGUAAAAUUGCCAUUGAUACUGGAUUUCUUGAAUUAGUGUGAAGUGGUUAGAAUGUGUAGUGUAGCGGUGAAAUGCAUAGAUAUUACACAGAAUACCAAUUGCGAAGGCAGAUCACUAACACUAUAUUGACGCUAAGGGACGAAAGCGUGGGGAGCGAACAGGAUUAGAUACCCUAGUAGCCC